Molecule: long non-coding RNA, 352 nt
Organism: Oncorhynchus tshawytscha (Chinook salmon)
Lineage: Eukaryota; Metazoa; Chordata; Actinopteri; Salmoniformes; Salmonidae
Exons: 2
Source: RefSeq, a predicted model, not a curated record
AGCAUGGUACAUCCUCAACAUCUCAUCUCUCCUCUGAGCCUGGUCAGCUGACUCCUCCAUCAGACUGCCCUGGUCCCCACAGGAAUACAGGACCAUGUGCUGAAACAGACCAACCACGGGCCGGCCGGCAGGCUACGAGGACACUCUCAGGCAGCAUGAAAACGACUACAUCGACCAUGAUCCUUUACUAGUUAUGGCCACUUUCACCAUGAUCCUUAGCGAUUAUUUUGGUGGCAUUCAGCCCCACCCAGCAAUAUGGAGCGCUUCACAUUAAAAUACUGGCGGCUUCAUGCACCAUCAGAAGUUCCAGGAAUACGUGGAUCCCCAUCUACUGUGUGUGUGUGUGUGUGUG